UACGAAGGGGGCUAGCGUUGUUCGGAAUCACUGGGCGUAAAGGGCGCGUAGGCGGCCUGAUAAGUCGGGGGUGAAAGCCUGUGGCUCAACCACAGAAUUGCCUUCGAUACUGUCGGGCUUGAGACCGGAAGAGGUCAGUGGAACUGCGAGUGUAGAGGUGAAAUUCGUAGAUAUUCGCAAGAACACCAGUGGCGAAGGCGGCUGACUGGUCCGGUUCUGACGCUGAGGCGCGAAAGCGUGGGGAGCAAACAGG
RNAcentral lists this ribosomal RNA (253 nucleotides) under uncultured bacterium. RNAcentral's name for it is "partial 16S ribosomal RNA". It matches the Rfam family "Bacterial small subunit ribosomal RNA", at positions 524 to 776 of the family's 1533-position model. The record is from RNAcentral.